CUAUAUUUUCUGCAUCUGCCAUUUAUAUUUACUGCAUUACCCAUUCAUAUACGACAUAUCCCAUUCUGACUUAUUUGCAUAUGUUUGGCUUCCUGUACUCAGCUUCAUGUCAAUACUGCAUUAUGCAACACAGUCUCUCUUCUACAGAGGACUCCUGUGCCAAUUCUAAACCUGAGCAUGAACAAACUGACAAAGUGAUUCUUCAUGUUUGGGCUAAUUUAGUGAUUUUGUAAUUCAUUGCUUUCUUGCACUGGUUAGCUGAAGAAGGUGUUUUGCCUCACAAGUGUGUUUUAAAACAGCUUGGAAGACAACUUGUUUUGAUUGCCUACACAAGAAAUAGACAAUUGUAUUGCUUUUAAGAAAUAAAGACUUGCUAUGAACUAUUUGGUUUUAUUAUGUAUAAUUAAUGAAUUAUGGAUAUUCUGUGCCAUUUAGAUGUUACCUUAUUGCAUAAUGCAGCUAUUUUGCAGCUAUUUCAUAGCGUACAUUUGACAAGAAAUGUAUUAAAAAUAGUCUUUUUAAAUGCAUCCUGAGUGGUUCACUCUGCAAACUGCACAUUUGUCACCCCCCAUUUCUAUUAGCAAGAGUAAUGCCAUCAUGACACCAUCAUAAGAUAUGUUAUUUCCUUCCUAUCGCCUUUCAUCCAAUAAAGUUGUUACAACCCCUA
This is a long non-coding RNA of Alosa sapidissima (American shad), 667 nucleotides long. RefSeq lists it as uncharacterized. The record is from RefSeq and is a predicted model, not a curated record. NCBI's taxonomy places the organism in Eukaryota, Metazoa, Chordata, Actinopteri, Clupeiformes, Clupeidae. The transcript has 3 exons.